RNAcentral lists this ribosomal RNA (256 nucleotides) under uncultured bacterium. RNAcentral describes it as "partial 16S ribosomal RNA". It matches the Rfam family "Bacterial small subunit ribosomal RNA", at positions 28 to 274 of the family's 1533-position model. The record is from RNAcentral.
GAUGAACGCUAGCGGCAGGCUUAACACAUGCAAGUCGAGGGGCAGCUACGAGGUAGCUAAUACUUUGGUGGCGACCGGCGCACGGGUGCGUAACGCGUAUGGCAACCUACCUUUAACAGGGGCAUAACACUGAGAAAUUGGGUACUAAUUCCCCAUAACAUUCGAGAAGGCAUCUUCUUAGGGUUAAAACUCCGGUGGUUAAACGAUGGGCAUGCGUUAGUAUUAGCUAGUUGGUGAGGUAACGGCUCACCAAGGC